UUCUUGAUAACGGUACAAUAAUCUCUAUCGAAAUGUCGUACUCACAAAUAAAAAGAAGUUGUUAUCCAUAAAGUUUGUUCUAUAUUAAAUCAUUGGUCUCAC
Haliotis rubra (blacklip abalone) is the source of this 102-nucleotide long non-coding RNA. RefSeq lists it as uncharacterized. The record is from RefSeq and is a predicted model, not a curated record. The transcript is spliced from 3 exons. Lineage: Eukaryota; Metazoa; Mollusca; Gastropoda; Lepetellida; Haliotidae.